Molecule: non-coding RNA, 27 nt
Filed under: Rattus norvegicus (Norway rat)
Lineage: Eukaryota; Metazoa; Chordata; Mammalia; Rodentia; Muridae
Source: RNAcentral
UUUUACAGUUGGUUCUGUGGCUCUUUU